This 313-nucleotide ribosomal RNA is filed under the name Stenotrophomonas maltophilia. RNAcentral's name for it is "partial 16S ribosomal RNA". It matches the Rfam family "Bacterial small subunit ribosomal RNA", at positions 50 to 357 of the family's 1533-position model. The record is from RNAcentral. Lineage: Bacteria; Pseudomonadati; Pseudomonadota; Gammaproteobacteria; Lysobacterales; Lysobacteraceae.
UACACAUGCAAGGUCGAACGNGCAGCACAGGAGAGCUUGCUCUCUGGGUGGCGAGUGGCGGACGGNUGAGGAAUACAUCNGAAUCUACUCUGUCGUGNGGGAUAACGUAGGGAAACUUACGCUAAUACCGCAUACGACCUACGGGUGAAAGCAGGGGACCUUCGGGCCUUGCGCGAUUGAAUGAGCCGAUGUCGGAUUAGCUAGUUGGCGGGGUAAAGGCCCACCAAGGCGACGAUCCGUAGCUGGUCUGAGAGGAUGAUCAGCCACACUGGAACUGAGACACNAACCAGANUNAUACGGGAGGNAGCANUGG